This is a long non-coding RNA of Etheostoma spectabile (orangethroat darter), 68 nucleotides long. RefSeq lists it as uncharacterized. Lineage: Eukaryota; Metazoa; Chordata; Actinopteri; Perciformes; Percidae. The transcript has 3 exons. The record is from RefSeq and is a predicted model, not a curated record.
UCUUUUACUUUGCUCAGUUUCAUCCUCUGUAGUCAUCACUCCUUUCAUUAUUUGUUGGGCCAUGGUAA